CGGAGGAAAAGAAACAACAGGGAUUGCCCUAGUAACGGCGAGUGAAGCGGCAACAGCUCAAAUUUGAAAUCUGGCCUCGGCCCGAGUUGUAAUUUGUAGAGGAUGCUUUAGGCGCGGCUCCUUCUGAGUGCCCUGGAACGGGACGCCACAGAGGGUGAGAGCCCCGUAUAGUUGGAAGCCUAGCCUGUGUAAAGCUCCUUCGACGAGUCGAGUAGUUUGGGAAUGCUGCUCAAAAUGGGAGGUAAAUUUCUUCUAAAGCUAAAUACCGGCCAGAGACCGAUAGCGCACAAGUAGAGUGAUCGAAAGAUGAAAAGCACUUUGAAAAGAGGGUUAAAUAGCACGUGAAAUUGUUGAAAGGGAAGCGCUUGUGACCAGACUUGCGCCGGGCUGAUCAUCCGGAGUUCUCUCCGGUGCACUCUGCCCGGCUCAGGCCAGCAUCGGUUCUCGCGGGGGGAUAAAGGCCUCGGGAACGUAGCUCCUCCGGGAGUGUUAUAGCCCGGGGCGUAAUGCCCUCGCGGGGACCGAGGUUCGCGCAUCUGCAAGGAUGCUGGCGUAAUGGUCAUCAGCGACCCGUCUUGAAACACGGACCAAGGAGUCAAGGUUUUGCGCGAGUGUUUGGGUGUAAAACCCGCACGCGUAAUGAAAGUGAACGUAGGUGAGAGCUUCGGCGCAUCAUCGACCGAUCCUGAUGUAUUCGGAUGGAUUUGAGUAAGAGCGUUAAGCCUUGGACCCGAAAGAUGGUGAACUAUGCUUGGAUAGGGUGAAGCCAGAGGAAACUCUGGUGGAGGCUCGCAGCGGUUCUGACGUGCAAAUCGAUCGUCAAAUCUGAGCAUGGGGGCGAAAGACUAAUCGAACCAUCUAGUAGCUGGUUACCGCCGAAGUUUCCCUCAGGAUAGCAGUGUUGUCUUCAGUUUUAUGAGGUAAAGCGAAUGAUUAGGGACUCGGGGGCGCUUUUUAGCCUUCAUCCAUUCUCAAACUUUAAAUAUGUAAGAAGCCCUUGUUACUUAAUU
RNAcentral lists this ribosomal RNA (1010 nucleotides) under Ovatospora brasiliensis. Its description in RNAcentral is "eukaryotic LSU rRNA". It matches the Rfam family "Eukaryotic large subunit ribosomal RNA", at positions 51 to 1096 of the family's 3401-position model. Lineage: Eukaryota; Fungi; Ascomycota; Sordariomycetes; Sordariales; Chaetomiaceae. The record is from RNAcentral.